This 254-nucleotide ribosomal RNA is filed under the name uncultured bacterium. RNAcentral's name for it is "partial 16S ribosomal RNA". It matches the Rfam family "Bacterial small subunit ribosomal RNA", at positions 524 to 776 of the family's 1533-position model. The record is from RNAcentral.
GACAGAGGGUGCAAGCGUUGCUCGGAAUCACUGGGCGUAAAGGGUGCGUAGGCGGCCGUGCAAGUCUGGCGUGAAAGCCCCGGGCUCAGCCCGGGAAGUGCGCUCGAAACUGCGCGGCUCGAGUGCCGGAGGGGAGAGUGGAAUUCCUGGUGUAGCGGUGAAAUGCGUAGAUAUCUGGAGGAACACCGGUGGCGAAGGCGGCAUCCUGGACCAACACUGACGCUGAGUGAGCGAAAGCCAGGGGAGCAAACGGG